GCAUAUCAAUAAGCGGAGGAAAAGAAACUAACAAGGAUUCCCCUAGUAACUGCGAGUGAAGCGGGAAAAGCUCAAAUUUUGAAUCUGGCGGUCUUUGCAGACCGUCCGAGUUGUAAUCUAGAGAAGCGUCUUCCGCGCCGGCCCGUGUACAAGUCUCCUGGAAGGGAGCGUCUUAGAGGGUGAGAAUCCCGUCUCUGACACGGACCACCGGGGCUAUGUGAUGCGCUCUCGACGAGUCG
This 239-nucleotide ribosomal RNA is filed under the name Boletus reticulatus. RNAcentral describes it as "partial 28S rRNA". It matches the Rfam family "Eukaryotic large subunit ribosomal RNA", at positions 38 to 267 of the family's 3401-position model. Lineage: Eukaryota; Fungi; Basidiomycota; Agaricomycetes; Boletales; Boletaceae. The record is from RNAcentral.